RNAcentral lists this long non-coding RNA (4366 nucleotides) under Cinara cedri. Lineage: Eukaryota; Metazoa; Arthropoda; Insecta; Hemiptera; Aphididae. The record is from RNAcentral.
UGCCGUUCAAAUAACUAUUAUUAAAAUACCAUUAAUAUAAGAAUUAGGUUAAAUAUAACAUGUAUGGAAGAAAUUGUUUAGGUAGGACAAUUUGGUACGCAUUAAAUUUAAUAUUUAAAUAUUAUUUAAUUUUUCAGUAUAAAAUAUUGUUUUAUAAUUAAAUACACUAUUCCAUAAGCUACAUACAAAAUUUAAACAUGAAGAACACUCAUUAGAUGAAAAAUACAUUACAAAAUUUGAGAUAUAGGUACAUGACAUUCGUACUUAAUCAUUUUUGCCCUCACAACUAUGCAUAUUGUAUAAAUCACAAUACUUUGUUUUCAUUGUCUGUUAUUAUUGUCACAUAUUAUAAAGAUAAUUUUACUUAUUUACAAAUCACUUAAAACAAAAAAAAUUUAGGUAUAGUAACUAAAAAAUAAAAAUAAAUUAUAAUAGAAUUUUUAAAAAUUAAAAUCCUAUUGCUAUAAAUAAACAAAAAAUUAUUAAAAUAUGAAUUAAAAAUUAAUGUCUUUAGUGUAAUACAAAAAAUAAAAAACAUAAAUAGGUAAUGUAAAAAUUGUUUGUAUGCUAUUAAAAUUUUAAAAGGAUUCAUGACUUUUAGCAUUUGUUUGAUUUAAAUUUAUAUUUAAUCUUAAGUUUCAUAUGUUUCACUUCAUUGUUAGCUGGUAAAUAUCUAAGGCUGUUUUCUAAUUUCUGCUGUCUUGAUAAUAUGUGUAUGGUUGUUGCAUAUUUUUAUACAACUCAUUAAACCUUUCUGUAGAAAAUAAUAAAAGUUUGAAUUUAUCAAUAUGAAACAAUAAUAAUACAAAUAAAUCAAUUCCAAAUGUAAAUUUUGGUACUUUUUUGUUAUUGCCCUGCUAGUGUCUAAAUUUGAAAGCUGAUUAAUAUAAUAACACAACUACCCAAAUUUAUAUAUUGAUGAGUAAACUAAAUUCAUUCUUAAAUAACAUAUUGUAAUUUUUAUAUUAUAUAUUUAAAAAAUUAUUUUAAAACUAAAUUUAACUGUGUAUUUUAUACUAUUAAAGCAACAUAUAAUGUUUUAUUACAAAAAAAAUUUAACAUAAUAUAUAACAGUAAUACAAAUGUAUUGUACACCCCUAAGGCAAAAAGUACAGUUUAACAGAAUAAUAAAAAAAAUAAAAAAAAAAAAUAAAAACAUUGUCACAAUUUAUUACAUAAUUAAUUUCAAUUGAUUUAUACUAUGAAAAAAGAAGUCAAAAUCUUUAGUUUUAUUACAAUCUAUAAGCAUUAUAUCUAGAGGUUUAUAUGACUGUAAUUUUGACGGUGGUGAGUAAUGAUAGGGAUUCCAUAGUACAGAUUCAUAUUCAAAAAUUGGACAAACUAAAGUACAAUAUAAUCAUUUCUAAUUGAGCAUAACAUGUAAUAACACCAACAAAUCACAAACCCCAAUAAAAUUCCUAAAAUACAAAUUGUCAGUUCGCUUUCGACUGUUCACAACGCACGCAUUUUAAAUACUCUCAGUUUUUUUUUCUUUUUGCUCUAAAACACCUCACAUAGUUGUACUUAGUAUCAAAAAAGACAGGGAACCGACAUAGGCAUUUCUUCCUUCAACACAUCAAAUUUACUUCAACCGUUCCGGCUAAAAUUGCAAAACUUUGGUAAUUAUAAUUACUCAAUUAUAUAAUCGUUAACUCCUAUCACAGUUUUGCGCUCCCCGGCCAUUAGCCGGCGGUGGCCUUCUAUUGAAAUUACAUCAUAAGUGCGAUAAGCGCACAAUCUACGAAAAAUGAAUACAAAAAAAAAUAUCACAAAAACCAAUUCUACUUCUUAUAAUUGCACACAGGGUGACUCUAAACGAUGUAUUCGAAAAUUUGUCUGAAAACUCCGAUAAUCAUUUCGUUUUCCAGCGGAAUAAAAGUAAGAAUAAGCGUAAUCUCUCAACUAGAGAAUCUCCCAAAACAAAAAAUAAUAUUAAACCUCUAAUCGCAACUACAAAUAGAUUUUCAUAUCUUACUGUUGAUGCAGUAGACAUUACACUUAACAAUCCGACCAAAUUCCUGUCAAUGAUGAGGUCAUAACUCCGUCACCACCACCAAUAAUAGUCAACGGCACAAUUGACUGUAGGUUUCCGAUCAAAAUUAAUCGAAUUAAUUGUUACAGAAAAUUUCCUAUUCAAAUCCUCCUCAAAUAGUUUAAAAAAUUACAACGAAAAACUCCGACUCGUAUAGAACGGUUAUAAAAUUCUUGAAUGACGAAGGUGCUGAAUAUUACACCUACUUACAGCGCGAAAACAAAGCGUUUUGUAUAGUAAUUCGAAAUCUCCACUCUUCUACUCCAACAAAUGAAAUUGGAAUCGCAAUUCAAGAAUUAGGUUUCACGGUUCGAAAAGUACUAAACGUCCGACAUCAGAUCACUAAACUUGCUCUACCGAUAUUCUUUGUAGAUAUUGAACCUGCCCAGAUAAACAAAGAUAUAUUUCAUAUAACAUCUAUUCUCCACACCUAGAUAAAGAUUGAAGAGCCGUCGUAAAAUAAUACAAUAUUUAAAUUGUCAAAAAUAUGGACAUUCAAAAAGCUAUUGCUCACACCCACCUCGCUGUAUUCGACUUGUCCUCCUUGUGUACCAAAACUAACGAUUAACCUCCAACGUGCGCUCUCUGUGGCGGAAAUCACCUGGCAAACUACCGCAGAUGUACAGUCCACAAAGAUAUACAAAAAUUCCAUAGUGGCUCAAAAACCAGGUUUAAAAAUAAUGUGAACCCAACUAUCUCUGUAAAUGGAGGAAAAGAUUCUGUUGAUGAAAUACCCUCAGAUCCGCCGAAUUGUAAUCUCAAUGACAUCAAAACAUUCCUAAACCUUCCUCAUAAUCAUACUUAAAACAUAAUCCCAAAUAAAAAUUAGCAUAAACUCGGCUCAUUCCCAGAAAAUAACUUAACAUCUCAACUUUCAUCCUUUAUAACAGAACUAAAAUCAAUAAUUAAUCCUCUAAUUCAACUUCUCACAACUGUCAUAAACCAAUUGAUUCAAAAAAAUGACAAAUAGACAAACAAACAUAAAUUCUCUCAACAUAUUCUUCUGGAAUGCAAAUGGGCUUAAACGACAUGAACCAAAUUAUUAAACCUUUUUAUUGGAAAACAUAUCGACAUCGCUUUAAUCUCCGAAACACACUGUACCCCAAUCUCCAAAAAUUUCUUUCCUGGAUACAGAAUAUACAGAACUGAUCAUCCCGAUGGUACUGCUCAUGGCAGAUUUGCUAUCAUAAUAUCAUCAAAAAUACAAAGUCAACCCUUACCUAAUCUCCAGACAAAUACCAUCCGUCUUAUAGCUACAGCCCCUUGGUACAUAACAAACAAAGCGCUACACAAAGACCUACGAUUUGAUACCGUUUACCAACUAGCCAAAAAAUGCUACACCAAAUUCCAUACAAAACUACAGCACCAUCCAAAACCUCUCAUCCAGCACUUAUCUUCAGUUACACUCCCUGAACCCCCCCCCCACCGUCUCAAAAGACGUUGGUGUCGAGAUCUAUUAAACUAAUUUAAAUUUUGCGUUCUGCAGGGUUCUAUCAUUGGAUAUCCUCCCUCAUCAAGCUACCAUGUUAUUGUUAUUUAUUUUAUGUACAAAGUUAUUAUAUUUACUUAUUGUGUUUUUUUUUUUGUGAAUACAGAUUGUAAGUUUUAAAUUAAAAAAAAAAAAAAAAAUACAAAUUUUAAAUUGAGGUUAGCAAGUUUCAUUAAUAAAAGUCAUAACAUAAUUUUAUAUACUAAUGAUUUAAUAGUAUACAAAUACAUUUUACACUAUUAACAUUUUUUUUUUUAUAGGACACUAAGACUGUUAAAUUUUUAAUUCAUCUCUUAAUUUUGUUCAUUUAGGUACUUAAACAAUAACUGUUUUAAUUUUUAAAAAACUAAUCAGUAACACUAAAGUACAUUAUUUGUUAAUGUCAUAAAUAUCUUUAUAAUAUGGGACGUAAAAAAUAACAGACAAUGAAAACAAAGUAUUAUGAUUUAUUUAUUUAAUAGAUUGUGAAAGUGGAAAUGAUUAUGUAUGAAUGUGAUGUGUAUCUCAAAUUUUGUAUUUUUUUUAUUUUCAUCUAAUGAGUGUUCUUCAUGUUUAAAUGUUGUAUGUAGCAUAAUAUGGAAUAAUGUAUUAUUAUUAUUUAUGAAACAAUAGUUUAUAUCCUGAAAUAAUAAUUUGAUAUUAAAUUUAAUAUUUAUUUAUUUGGCAGGUACUGAAAUAGUAGAAAUACAUACCUAUUAUCAACAAAUAAUACUAUGACCUACAUUAUUUAAAAAUUAAACUGAUAUUCAUGUUCAAUAUUCUAUAACGAGAAAUGAUGAUGAAAUUUAGUUUUAAUCAUUUUCUCUGUUGACAAUGAAACUAAACGUCAAAAUUUAGUAAGUUGA